GACGAACGCUGGCGGCGUGCUUAACACAUGCAAGUCGAACGCUGAAGCUUGGUGCUUGCACUGGGUGGAUGAGUGGCGAACGGGUGAGUAAUACGUGAGUAACCUGCCCUUGACUCUGGGAUAAGCCUGGGAAACUGGGUCUAAUACUGGAUAUGACAUGCCACUGCAUGGUGGUGUGUGGAAAGGGUUUUACUGGUUUUGGAUGGGCUCACGGCCUAUCAGCUUGUUGGUGGGGUAAUGGCCUACCAAGGCGACGACGGGUAGCCGGCCUGAGAGGGUGACCGGCCACCCUGGGCCUGAGACACGGCCCAGACUCCUACGGGAGGCAGCAGUGGGGAAUAUUGCACAAUGGGCGGAAGCCUGAUGCAGCGACGCCGCGUGAGGGAUGACGGCCUUCGGGUUGUAAACCUCUUUCAGCACGGAAGAAGCGAGAGUGACGGUACGUGCAGAAGAAGCGCCGGCUAACUACGUG
This 472-nucleotide ribosomal RNA is filed under the name uncultured bacterium. RNAcentral describes it as "partial 16S ribosomal RNA". It matches the Rfam family "Bacterial small subunit ribosomal RNA", at positions 28 to 507 of the family's 1533-position model. The record is from RNAcentral.